This 465-nucleotide ribosomal RNA is filed under the name uncultured bacterium. Its description in RNAcentral is "partial 16S ribosomal RNA". It matches the Rfam family "Bacterial small subunit ribosomal RNA", at positions 339 to 795 of the family's 1533-position model. The record is from RNAcentral.
CUACGGGUUGCACCAGUGGGGAAUAUUGCGCAAUGGGCGAAAGCCUGACGCAGCAACGCCGUGUGAGGGAUGAAGGCUUUCGGGUCGUAAACCUCUGUCAGAAGGGAAGAACGGGUAUUGGUCUAAUAGGCCUUUAUUUUGACGGUACCUUCAGAGGAAGCACCGGCUAACUCCGUGCCAGCAGCCGCGGUAAUACGGAGGGUGCAAGCGUUAUUCGGAAUUACUGGGCGUAAAGCGCACGUAGGCCGCUUUGUAAGUCAGGGGUGAAAUCCCACGGCUCAACCGUGGAACUGCCUUUGAAACUGGAGAGCUUGAAUCCUGGAGAGGGUGGCGGAAUUCCUGGUGUAGGAGUGAAAUCCGUAGAUAUCAGGAGGAACACCGGUGGCGAAGGCGGCCACCUGGACAGGUAUUGACGCUGAGGUGCGAAAGUGUGGGGAGCAAACAGGAUUAGAUACCCUAGUAGUC